CUAGUGGCGCACGGGUGAGUAACGCGUGGGAACCUACCUUUUAGUUCGGGAUAACAGUUGGAAACGACUGCUAAUACCGUAUACGCCCUCCGGGGGAAAGGUCAGCCGCUGAAAGAGGGGCCCACGUCUGAUUAGCUUGUUGGUAGGGUAAAAGCCUACCAAGGCUACGAUCAGUAGCUGGUCUGAGAGGAUGAUCAGCCACACUGGGACUGAGACACGGCCCAGACUCCUACGGGAGGCAGCAGUCGGGAAUAUUGGACAAUGGAGGAAACUCUGAUCCAGCAAUGCCGCGUGUGUGAUGAAGGCCCUAGGGUUGUAAAGCACUUUCAACGGUGAAGAUGAUGACGGUAGCCGUAGAAGAAGCCCCGGCUAACUUCGUGCCAGCAGCCGCGGUAAUACGAAGGGGGCGAGCGUUGUUCGGAAUUAUUGGGCGUAAAGGGCGCGCAGGCGGUUUGGA
Molecule: ribosomal RNA, 457 nt
Filed under: uncultured bacterium
Lineage: Bacteria
Description: bacterial SSU rRNA
Rfam family: Bacterial small subunit ribosomal RNA
Source: RNAcentral